This 482-nucleotide ribosomal RNA is filed under the name uncultured bacterium. Its description in RNAcentral is "partial 16S ribosomal RNA". It matches the Rfam family "Bacterial small subunit ribosomal RNA", at positions 28 to 507 of the family's 1533-position model. The record is from RNAcentral.
GACGAACGCUGGCGGCGUGCUAACACAUGCAAGUCGAACGCUGAAGCUCAGCUUUUGUUGGGUGGAUGAGUGGCGAACGGGUGAGUAACACGUGAGUAACCUGCCCCCUUCUUUGGGAUAACGCCCGGAAACGGGUGCUAAUACUGGAUAUUCACUGGUCUUCGCAUGGGGGUUGGUGGAAAGGGUUUUUCUGGUGGGGGAUGGGCUCGCGGCCUAUCAGCUUGUUGGCGGGGUGAUGGCCUACCAAGGCUUUGACGGGUAGCCGGCCUGAGAGGGUGACCGGUCACAUUGGGACUGAGAUACGGCCCAGACUCCUACGGGAGGCAGCAGUGGGGAAUAUUGCACAAUGGGCGCAAGCCUGAUGCAGCGACGCCGCGUGAGGGAUGGAGGCCUUCGGGUUGUGAACCUCUUUCGCUCAUGGUCAAGCCGCAACAAUGGUUGUGGUGAGGGUAGUGGGUAAAGAAGCGCCGGCUAACUACGUG